UGCAUGUCUAAGUUCAGAGACUCGUACUCUCAAACCGCGGAUGGCUCAUUAUAACAGCCCUGAUUUAAGAGAACUACUGUUUCAUUACUACAAGAUAACUGUGGUAAUUCUAGAGCUAAUAUUUCAAAACAAUGCCGUAACUUCGGAAGCGGCGGAUUUAUUAGAUCAAAAUCAACCUGUCGCAAGACGGUUAAUUUGAUGAAUCUGGAUAACUUUACUGAUCGUACGACCUCUGUGUUGACGACAUAUCUCUUGAAAAGGCUGACCUAUCAACUUUCGAUGGUAAGAUCAAAGCUUACCAUGGUUGUAACGGGUAACGGGGAAUCAGUGUUCGAUUCCGGAGAGGGAGCCUGACAAACGGCUACCACAUCUACGGAAGGCAGCAGGCGCGUAAAUUACCCAAUACCAGCUCGGUGAGGUAGUGACAAAAAAUAACAAUAUGGGCCCUAGUGGUUUCAUAAUUGCAAUGAGAACAUUUUAAAUACUUUAUCAAGUAUCCAUUGGAGGGCAAGUCUGGUGCCAGCAGCCGCGGUAAUUCCAGCUCCAAAAGCGUAUAUUAAAGUUGUUGCAGUUAAAAAGCUCGUAGUUGAAAUUGAGGAAUUAAGUUCGAUAUGAGAUCUCAGAUCGAUGUUGAACUUGUCCUUCUACGUCGCGUAUAUGUGUGAUGCUCUUUAAUGGGUGUCAUGUAUAACCGACAAGUUUACUUUGAAAAAAUUAGAGUGCUUAACGCAGGCUUAUGCUUGUAUAUUGUUGCAUGGAAUAAUGAAAUAGGACUUCGGUUUUAUUUUGUUGGUUUUCGGAACUGAAGUAAUGAUUAAAAGAGACUGCCGGGGGGCAUAUGUAUGCUGGGGGGGAGAAGGUGAAAUUCUUAAAAUCGCCAGCAGACAAACUACUGCCAAAGGCAUUUGCCAGGAAUGUUUUCAUUAAUCCAGAACCGAAAGUCAGAGGAUCGAAAACGAUCC
Molecule: ribosomal RNA, 962 nt
Filed under: Geoplaninae sp.
Lineage: Eukaryota; Metazoa; Platyhelminthes; Tricladida; Geoplanidae
Description: SSU rRNA
Rfam family: Eukaryotic small subunit ribosomal RNA
Source: RNAcentral